AACGAACGCUGGCGGCAUGCCUAACACAUGCCAGUCGAACGAGACCUUCGGGUCUAGUGGCGCACGGGUGCGUAACGCGUGGGAACCUGCCCUUAGGUUCGGAAUAACUCCCCGAAAGGGGUGCUAAUACCGGAUAAUGUCUUCGGACCAAAGAUUUAUCGCCUUUGGAUGGGCCCGCGUUGGAUUAGCUAGUUGGUAGGGUAAAAGCCUACCAAGGCGACGAUCCAUAGCUGGUCUGAGAGGAUGAUCAGCCACACUGGGACUGAGACACGGCCCAGACUCCUACGGGAGGCAGCAGUGGGGAAUAUUGGACAAUGGGCGAAAGCCUGAUCCAGCAAUGCCGCGUGAGUGAUGAAGGCCUUAGGGUUGUAAAGCUCUUUUACCCGGGAUGAUAACGACAGUACCGGGAGAAUAAGCUCCGGCUAACUCCGU
This 432-nucleotide ribosomal RNA is filed under the name uncultured bacterium. RNAcentral's name for it is "partial 16S ribosomal RNA". It matches the Rfam family "Bacterial small subunit ribosomal RNA", at positions 29 to 506 of the family's 1533-position model. The record is from RNAcentral.